UACGGAGGAUGCAAGCGUUUAUCCGGAUUUAUUGGGUUUAAAGGUGCGUAGCGGAAAUAGUCAGUGGUGAAUCCUACAGCUUAACUGUAGAAUUGCCGUUGAUACUGUUUUUCUUGAGUAUGGUCAAGGAAGGCGGAAUGUGUAAUGUAGCGGUGAAAUGCUUAGAUAUUACACAGAACACCAAUUGCGAAGGCAGCUUUCUGGCCCAUUACUGACGCUGAGGCACGAAAGCGUGGGGAUCGAACAGGAUUAGAUACCCGUGUA
RNAcentral lists this ribosomal RNA (264 nucleotides) under uncultured prokaryote. Its description in RNAcentral is "partial 16S ribosomal RNA". It matches the Rfam family "Bacterial small subunit ribosomal RNA", at positions 524 to 792 of the family's 1533-position model. The record is from RNAcentral.